This is a non-coding RNA of Schizosaccharomyces pombe (fission yeast), 416 nucleotides long. NCBI's taxonomy places the organism in Eukaryota, Fungi, Ascomycota, Schizosaccharomycetes, Schizosaccharomycetales, Schizosaccharomycetaceae. The record is from the annotation of a GenBank genome assembly.
ACACCUUCGGCAGUUUCCAAGUUGUAUUCAGCAACAUCAGGAGGUCCACGAGUGGUAGUGAAAGGAUAGUUAAGAUCGACACCGUUGGGGAAAAGGGUUUCCGACUGUCUUGAAGUAGUCCUGUUUUAAGGGUUGCCGGCCAAAUCCAACAUUCUUGACUGGGUCAAGUGCAUGGGGUUGUCAGUGGCUUCCUGAUCCUCCACUGUAGCAGUGGAGUCAUGAGUAUUUGUCUUUUCCAAAGGCAUUAUUAAUUUAUGCGCACAAGUAAAGAACUAAAAGAUAAUGAAGAAGAAAACAGUAUAUAGAUGUUUUUUUGGUUGACAAAAAUUGACAAGAAAAGAAAAGAGAACAAAUCUAAACUAAUUGAAGGGAAGAAAAGAACAACAAACAAACAAAAACUAUGUUGCAAGAGAAAA